CGAAGGGUGCAAGCGUUACUCGGAAUUACUGGGCGUAAAGCGUGCGUAGGUGGUUCGUUAAGUCUGUCGUGAAAGCCCCGGGCUCAACCUGGGAAUGGCGAUGGAUACUGGCGGGCUAGAGUGCGGUAGAGGAGAGUGGAAUUCCCGGUGUAGCAGUGAAAUGCGUAGAGAUCGGGAGGAACAUCAGUUGCGAAGGCGGCUCUCUGGACCAGCACUGACACUGAGGCACGAAAGCGUGGGGAGCAAACAGGAUUAGAUACCCUGGUAGUCCACGCCCUAAACGAUGCGAACUGGACGUUGGGAGCAACUAGGCUCUCAGUGUCGAAGCUAACGCGUUAAGUUCGCCGCCUGGGGAGUACGGUCGCAAGACUG
RNAcentral lists this ribosomal RNA (372 nucleotides) under uncultured organism. RNAcentral's name for it is "bacterial SSU rRNA". It matches the Rfam family "Bacterial small subunit ribosomal RNA", at positions 526 to 896 of the family's 1533-position model. The record is from RNAcentral.